CCUACGGGUGGCAGCAGUGAGGAAUAUUGGUCAAUGGACGCAAGGCUGAACCAGCCAAGUAGCGUGAAGGAUGACUGCCCUACGGGUUGUAAACUUCUUUUAUCAAGGAAUAAAGUGAGGCACGUGUGCCUUUUUGUAUGUACUUUAUGAAUAAGGAUCGGCUAACUCCGUGCCAGCAGCCGCGGGAAUACGGAGGAUCCGAGCGUUAUCCGGAUUUAUUGGGUUUAAAGGGAGCGUAGAUGGGUUGUUAAGUCAGUUGUGAAAGUUUGCGGCUCAACCGUAAAAUUGCAGUUGAUACUGGUAGUCUUGAGUACAGUUGAGGUAGGCGGAAUUCGUGGUGUAGCGGUGAAAUGCUUAGAUAUCACGAAGAACUCCGAUUGCGAAGGCAGCUUACUAAGCUGCCACUGACAUUGAUGCUCGAAAGUGUGGGUAUCAAACAGGAUUAGAUACCCCUGUAGUC
This 460-nucleotide ribosomal RNA is filed under the name uncultured bacterium. RNAcentral describes it as "partial 16S ribosomal RNA". It matches the Rfam family "Bacterial small subunit ribosomal RNA", at positions 338 to 795 of the family's 1533-position model. The record is from RNAcentral.